GAAAAAGUAACUCAGAUGGUAGAGUGUUGGUUUGUCAUAUCAGUGGCCGCGGGUUCGAAUCCCGUCUUUUUCG
Molecule: transfer RNA, 73 nt
Filed under: Myagropsis myagroides
Lineage: Eukaryota; Phaeophyceae; Fucales; Sargassaceae
Description: tRNA-Asp
Rfam family: tRNA
About the family: Transfer RNA (tRNA) molecules are approximately 80 nucleotides in length. Their secondary structure includes four short double-helical elements and three loops (D, anti-codon, and T loops). Further hydrogen bonds mediate the characteristic L-shaped molecular structure. tRNAs have two regions of fundamental functional importance: the anti-codon, which is responsible for specific mRNA codon recognition, and the 3' end, to which the tRNAs corresponding amino acid is attached (by aminoacyl-tRNA synthetases). tRNAs cope with the degeneracy of the genetic code in two manners: having more than one tRNA (with a specific anti-codon) for a particular amino acid; and 'wobble' base-pairing, i.e. permitting non-standard base-pairing at the 3rd anti-codon position.
Source: RNAcentral